Molecule: long non-coding RNA, 6313 nt
Filed under: Equus caballus (horse)
Lineage: Eukaryota; Metazoa; Chordata; Mammalia; Perissodactyla; Equidae
Description: lncRNA (ENSECAG00000052935.1)
Source: RNAcentral
CUUGGGUCCCCAGCCCCAAAGUCAGAGGCUCACACGCUGGGAGCCAGGUCGGCCCCUCGGCCCUCCCCACCCCGCCACCUUCCCAUCCCCUACAGAGCCAGCUGGGACCCCCAGGGAGCUCCAGAAACAUCGGCCGGAUUGCAACGUGGGCCACCCAGAACCGGACACCAGCCCUCAGAGCGGUCAGGCGUGGGGCCCAGGAGGUCGCUGGACACAGGACCUGGAGAUGGAGCGUGGUGACGGCUGCCCACCAGGCAAGCCCGUCCUCCAGCAAAAAGAUUCCGGCUUUGCCGAAGGCUCUGAUGAUGGUUAACACCUUUUAGCCAUAAAGUAUUUUUAAAUGAAAGGAUGCACAUUGUUUUUAUAGACAUAAGGCCGUUGCACACUGAAUAGCCUACAGUGGAGUGCAAACAUGACUUUUUUCUUUUCUUUUUUUCUUUUGAGGAAGAUUAGCCCUGAGCUGACAUCCGCCCCCAAUCCUCCUCUUUUUUGCUGAGGAAGACUGGCCCUGAGCUCACAUCCGUGCCCAUCUUCCUCUACUUUAUAUGUGGGACGCCCGCCACAGCAUGGCGUGCCAAGCAGUGCCAUGUCCACACCCGGGACCCGAACCGGCGAACCCCGGGCCGCCAAAGCAGAAUGUGUGCACUUAACCACUGCGCCACCGGGUGGCCCCUGAACGUUGCUUUUCUACGCGCUGGGAAACCCGAGAAAUCGUGAGACCCGCUUUAUUGCGACCUUGGCUUUAUUGUGCAGUCUGGAACCGAACCCACGGUGCCUGUACCACCUCCGGGUGAUACAUAGCAGGGAAUGCAGCAGACUUUUCCUCAAAGGAAAGAGAUUUCCAGAAGGGAGUCAGAAACUUUCAUUCGUUCAUUCACUCAUUCAUUCCUACAGUUACCGUCUUCCCUGAACCCCCAGGCUUUGCAGGGUGGGUGGAGCAAUGGCCCAGACCCUGGAGCCGGCUUGGGGCAAAGCAGAAACAGCAAGAAGACCUGCGAUGGGGCGACCUGUGGACUGCAGUGUGCCCCUGCCUGCGUGGGGACAGGUCAAGGGGCCAUCGAGGAGUAGGCGUGUCACCUGUUGCCAGGUGCCAGGUGCCCGUGGCGGGAAGCCCCUCGUGCACAUCCCUGCCCAUCUAGUGCUGGCGACAACUCCGGGAGGCGGGUGCUAUGGGAACCGCCAUCCUUCAGACGACAGAAACCAGGUCGCCACAGGGCCCUGCCCGCCCAGCAUCACAGGCGGCACCCGACACGCAUCAGCUGUGAUUGUUGGAGCGUGGGUGCUCUUUAUUUAUUACAGGACCCUCCGGCAGUGUCAGGGCACGGAGAGUGUGCAGCCAAGGAACCCGACAAGCUGGCUGCAGAUUUACGAAGUGGUGCCAGCUCCCGGAGAACAUCGUCCGUCUCAGAAACGACUUCCUCAUCGUUCCUCAGAGACUCGAAGCAAUUAUUCUGUUUUCUUACCAUUUUGGAUGCAUUUGAGUCAUGAAAAUAACACCGGACAUGAAAAUGCAACAGGACCCAAGAGCAGCUGUCUCUCCGCCCUUUCGAAAUGAGCCACUGGCCCUUGGCUUUAUUCUAAGUUAUCCUGAUUCCCUCAGACUUCACCUACGAGGAGGGCAAUCUGGUCUUGUUACUUCCAGAAACUCACUAGUAUUGUCUCUUGUCUGAUUCCAGCAUUUUCACGUGCAAAAGAGAACGGCCAGCCCAAGGUGUGGUCUGCUUUUUCUUUCUUUCUUUUUUUGUUUUGAGGAAGAUUGGCCCUGAGCUAACAUCUGCCACCAAUCCUCCUCUUUUUUUUUUUUUUUUUUUUGCUGAGGAAGACUGGCCCUGAGUUAACAUCCAUGCCCAUCUACUUUAUAUGUGGAACGCCUACCACAGCAUGGCGUGCCAAGUGGUGCCAUGUCCACACCCAGGACCCAAACCGGCAAACCUGGGGCUGCUGCUCUUUCUGACUUUGAAGACGUUGGAGGAGGAGCUCUUCCGACAUCAGCACAUCCUCCUUGCUCCCUCGGGAAUCCCAAUCUUUCUCUAAAUGAGUUUGUAGAAGAAAAGGCAUUUUGUACGAAAGCCGUGAUUUCUUGCCCCGCCCGCUUUGCCGUAUGUUCGAGACCAUUUAGAAAACAGAAACUCAACUCGAGUAAAAGCACAGAGGUGUCGCCCUCCCUGGAGCCCCUGCCCCCCUCCCCCCAGGGGCGUCGGAUCCUUCCGGAGACAUUCGAGCAUCUGCACGACCAGGUUCACAUAUUGUGUCCCUUUUGGACCGCGGUUUCUAUAAAGGGUGGCUCACGACGUACACGGCCUCAGAUUGCCCCCCAGCUCAGAACACAGAGGGCCCCCUCGUUCGUUGUGUGCCCCCCCCAAACUGUGGGUGGACACUGGCUGUUUCUGUUCUUGGGCUCAGCAAGCUCUCCGGCUGCUGUGUCUUGAUAUACCUGUGACCUCGUGAAGGCCCAGGCCGGAUGUUCCGACAGCUGGUUCAGAUUCACCAUUCGCCUUUUCAAAAAUUUUUAUUUUCAGUUACUUGAUUACUUGGAACUUCAUCCAUGUGGCAAGCAGCCUUGUCUUGUGCCGUGGACUUUUGCAGACAGAUCUGGCUUCAAAUCUCGAUUCUGUUACUUAGAAGCUGUGUGACCUUGUGCAAGUUACUUAACCUCUCUGUGUCUCCAUGAGCAAGUUACUUAACUUCUCCGUGCCUCGGUCUCCUCCCCAACUUAAAGGGGGGUGAUGAUGAUGACAGCCCCCAUACCGUGGGCUCCUGAGGAGGACUAAAUGAGUCCAAAAGGUGGCCUUUUCUUGGAACGGUUCCCAGCAUACGUUUCCAUCAUUUCAUGCAUCCAGACCUACAAGGGGAUCCGAGGCAGCGAGCAUUUGCAAGAAAUGUUUCCCAGACUGGAAACACUGAAUCUCCGUGCGCAUCUCUUCUUUCCUUCCUCUUCCCGCGUCCUCCUGCCAACAUUUGCUGAGGGCUCCUGGAUCGGCUAGACACCCGGUAGGACAGGCCAGCGCCCCCGCCUGCUCAGGCGGCCUGUUUGGGGCCAGGGACAUUUCUGCAAAUCCUGGGGCCUGCGCUGGGGGAGGUAAGCGCCUGACUUUGAGAUGCUGAGAUCCGGGGCUCACAGUGGAGCCGGGAGGGAGGUUGAGGUGGGAGUCGGCGAGGGGACACUGCGUGAUGCCCGACGGCCGGGCUCCUGCUGACACCUAGUGGAAGGACGGAAUUCGCAUCCUUUUCAGCCAGGGUGCCUCUGCGAGAUUGAGGUCUCCCCCAGAACAUCUACGAGAUGUCGCGCAGACAGACCCGGGCCAGAGAGGGAGCAACUUGCUGGGCGUCACACAGCACAUCGGCUGCCCCAGGGGAGGGGGUGUUGAAGGACCCAAGAUAUCAUUUUAAAGGAAGCUGUUUUGGGGGGACAGGUAAGUGAGGUCUCAGGCCUUGAUGAGAUAACGUGUUUUCCGAGCUUUUAUUCCUCCACCAGGAAGCCCACCUGGAUUGCUCCAUCCCCACUCCGAGGCCUUUUUUCUCCUCUGGCCAGUUGUUCAUUUGUUCAUCCUUUUAACAAAGGUUUACUGAGCCCAUGGGGACAUGCAGGGAACUAAAUAUUUUUAAACAAUCAAACAACAACAAAAAAACCCCUGUGCUGGUGGAACUCAUACCUCAGCGGAGGAGACAGAGGAGAAACCAACAUACAAAUCUACAAAUGGGAGUAUUUCAGGGACUAAGAAGCCGUUGAAAGAACUUGGUGAUGCGACAGAGACUGAAUUUGUGGGUGCCAAGGUGGGGGGAGGAGAGGAUCAAAGUUAGCCAUGCUCAGGGAAGGCCUCUCAGAGGAGGUAACAUUGAAACCAAGAAUUGAAGGAGGAGAGGGUGUGAGCCCUGGGGGAGAUACCUGGGGCAGGCCAGAGGGCACAGUUCGUGCAAAGGCCCUGGGGCAGGACUGGGCCUGACGUGUUGGAGGAGCAGCGAGGAGGCCGUGUGGCUGGAGCAGAGGGAGGAGGGGAGCAGGGAGGGGACAGGCAGGUCGUGCGGGGCCUGGGGGGCCGCGGGGAGGACUCGGCUUCUCCCCCAGGGAGGGGAGCCUGGAGGGCUGUGGGCAGAGGAGGCGGGACCGGCUCAGGGGCUCCCAGGCACUCUCUGGUGGCGGCUGCGGGGAGGACAGACGGGGGGACCAGGAUGCAGGGGCCUGCGCUGAUGGGCUGGACCAGGGAGACGCCCACAGAGGGAGGAAGAAGCGAUCGGAUCCUGGCUGUACUGGAAAGCAGGGGUGAUCGGGUUUGCUGAGUGGCUGCAUGUGGGCGGCAGAGCAAGGAGCCCGGGGCAGCUCCCAGGUUCUGGCUGAGCCCCCGGGAGAAAGCAGCGUCCUCAGCUGAGACGGGGAGAUGGAGGGAGGAGCAGUUUCUUAGUCCGUCUGGUCUGUUGUUGCAAACUACCGGAGACGGGGGCCUUAUAGACGAUGCACAUUUAUUCCUCACGGUUCUGGAGGCUGAAGUCCAAGGUCAGGGCGCUGGAAGAUUCCGUGUCCGGCGGGAACCUGCUUCCUGGUUCACAGACUGGCUGUGUCCUCAUGUGGCAGAAGCAGCAGGGAGCUCUGUGGGGUCUCUGUUAUAAGGGCACGAAUCCCGUUCAUGGGGGCCCCACCCCCACAACCUCAUCACCUCCCAAAGGCCCCACUUCCUGACCCCACCGCCUUAGGGGUUACGUUUCAACAUAUGAAUUUGGGGUGGGGGGGACACCAACAGUCGGUCCACAGCAAGCAGGUCAGAGGAAGAUAGGGAGCUCGGUUGGGGUCAUGAUAAUUUUGGGAUGGCCGUGACUCCCCCACCCGUACCCUAGUGGAGACAUGGAGGGACAGCUGCAUGGGACCCUGGAGCUCAGAGUGGCCUGGGCUGGAGACAAGACUGUGGGCGUCGAAAGGGCACAGAUGGGGUCGGAGCCCAGAGGACGGAUGGGGCCACCGGGGAGGGGUGUGGGUGGAGGAGAGACGGGGCUCGAGGAUCCAGCCCUGGGCCAAGAAGGGAAAGGGGGGAGUCCCAGGGGAGCUGGAGAGGUGGGAGGGGAGCCGGGUGAGUUCGGGGUCCGGGGCUGCGUGAGAACAGAGUUCCCGAGAUGAGUGGGGACUGGCCAGGUUGGAUGCUGGCUCAAAGUUCCCUUUUUUCCCUUUUUACGGCUGCAUAAUAUUCCAUUGUAUGGACAGACCACACCUUGCUCAUCCUUUCACCCAUCACUGGACAUUUGGGUUGUUUCCAUCUUCCGGCUACUGUGAGUCCUGCUGCUGUGGACAUCCAUGCACAACUUUGCGUGGCUGUACAUUCCCAGUUCUCUUGGGUCAGAUGAUAAUUCUGUGUUUAACCUUCUGCGGAACUGCCAGACUGUCUUUCAGAGCGGUUGCAUCAUUUGACGUUCCCACCAGCAACAGAGGAAGGUUCCAGUUUCUCCCCAUCCUCCACAACACUUGUUACUGUCCGUCUUCUCGAUGACAGCCAUCCUGGCAGGUGGGAAGUGGCCAGUCCGGUUGCUAUUAGGUUUGAAAUAUCCAUCACGUCAGCCCACUCAUCGCCAGCCCCGGGCCAACUUGAACAUCUGCCCUGGUCUACCCCCCCUCCAAAGUUCACAAAGUAGGUGGUCAGUUAAUACUUGUUCAAUGAAUGAAUGAAUGGAAUAUUAUGCAGCUGUCAAAAAUGAUGUUACAGAAGAAUGUUUAAUGAGGAGGUCAGCAGAACAACGCCCCCCUCAGCAUCCACAUCCUCAUGCCCGGAACCUGUGACUAUGCUCCCUUCCGUGGCAAAAGGGACUUUGCACAUGAGACUUCCUCUGCAUCAAGCAGAGCGAUGCACGCGUCCUCAGGAAGCGCGAAAAUCAUCUCGGCCGACCGCAGGCGUAGAAUGUUCUUUUUCAGGAGCUACAAUGUAACAACUCUUUGCAACAUUGUUUAUCUAAAGUCCCCAGAGUUACAACCUCCGCCAGUUUCCGCAGGGCCGCGGUUAAGCACGCUGACUCCACAUCCACCAACGUCCUCGGUUCAGUCCCGGCGAAAACGUGCUCGUAUGUUUUUUUCCUUCUGAUGGAAUUUUAAAACUGUCAUAGAAAUUCUUGGUCCUCGCUUUUUUUUCUUUUCUUUUCUUAUUUCUCCUGCCUUUUUAGAAAUUAUGAUGGAAUUUUAAAAAUUAUUUCAAAGUCAAAAAAUUCGAGUUGGCUGAUUUGACUGGAAAAUUUUAAAUGGAUGGUAAAAGAGAAAAGGGGAGCUGCAAUUAACGAGAAAGAAAAAGCAGCAAGAGUGAAACCCAAAACUUCUGCGUUGGCCGGGAAUCGAACCCGG